This 2170-nucleotide ribosomal RNA is filed under the name Escherichia coli. RNAcentral's name for it is "partial 23S ribosomal RNA". It matches the Rfam family "Bacterial large subunit ribosomal RNA", at positions 1 to 2188 of the family's 2925-position model. Lineage: Bacteria; Pseudomonadati; Pseudomonadota; Gammaproteobacteria; Enterobacterales; Enterobacteriaceae. The record is from RNAcentral.
GGGUUGUGAGGUUAAGCGACUAAGCGUACACGGUGGAUGCCCUGGCAGUCAGAGGCGAUGAAGGACGUGCUAAUCUGCGAUAAGCGUCGGUAAGGUGAUAUGAACCGUUAUAACCGGCGAUUUCCGAAUGGGGAAACCCAGUGUGUUUCGACACACUAUCAUUAACUGAAUCCAUAGGUUAAUGAGGCGAACCGGGGGAACUGAAACAUCUAAGUACCCCGAGGAAAAGAAAUCAACCGAGAUUCCCCCAGUAGCGGCGAGCGAACGGGGAGCAGCCCAGAGCCUGAAUCAGUGUGUGUGUUAGUGGAAGCGUCUGGAAAGGCGCGCGAUACAGGGUGACAGCCCCGUACACAAAAAUGCACAUACUGUGAGCUCGAUGAGUAGGGCGGGACACGUGGUAUCCUGUCUGAAUAUGGGGGGACCAUCCUCCAAGGCUAAAUACUCCUGACUGACCGAUAGUGAACCAGUACCGUGAGGGAAAGGCGAAAAGAACCCCGGCGAGGGGAGUGAAAAAGAACCUGAAACCGUGUACGUACAAGCAGUGGGAGCACGCUUAGGCGUGUGACUGCGUACCUUUUGUAUAAUGGGUCAGCGACUUAUAUUCUGUAGCAAGGUUAACCGAAUAGGGGAGCCGAAGGGAAACCGAGUCUUAACUGGGCGUUAAGUUGCAGGGUAUAGACCCGAAACCCGGUGAUCUAGCCAUGGGCAGGUUGAAGGUUGGGUAACACUAACUGGAGGACCGAACCGACUAAUGUUGAAAAAUUAGCGGAUGACUUGUGGCUGGGGGUGAAAGGCCAAUCAAACCGGGAGAUAGCUGGUUCUCCCCGAAAGCUAUUUAGGUAGCGCCUCGUGAAUUCAUCUCCGGGGGUAGAGCACUGUUUCGGCAAGGGGGUCAUCCCGACUUACCAACCCGAUGCAAACUGCGAAUACCGGAGAAUGUUAUCACGGGAGACACACGGCGGGUGCUAACGUCCGUCGUGAAGAGGGAAACAACCCAGACCGCCAGCUAAGGUCCCAAAGUCAUGGUUAAGUGGGAAACGAUGUGGGAAGGCCCAGACAGCCAGGAUGUUGGCUUAGAAGCAGCCAUCAUUUAAAGAAAGCGUAAUAGCUCACUGGUCGAGUCGGCCUGCGCGGAAGAUGUAACGGGGCUAAACCAUGCACCGAAGCUGCGGCAGCGACACUGUGUGUUGUUGGGUAGGGGAGCGUUCUGUAAGCCUGCGAAGGUGUGCUGUGAGGCAUGCUGGAGGUAUCAGAAGUGCGAAUGCUGACAUAAGUAACGAUAAAGCGGGUGAAAAGCCCGCUCGCCGGAAGACCAAGGGUUCCUGUCCAACGUUAAUCGGGGCAGGGUGAGUCGACCCCUAAGGCGAGGCCGAAAGGCGUAGUCGAUGGGAAACAGGUUAAUAUUCCUGUACUUGGUGUUACUGCGAAGGGGGGACGGAGAAGGCUAUGUUGGCCGGGCGACGGUUGUCCCGGUUUAAGCGUGUAGGCUGGUUUUCCAGGCAAAUCCGGAAAAUCAAGGCUGAGGCGUGAUGACGAGGCACUACGGUGCUGAAGCAACAAAUGCCCUGCUUCCAGGAAAAGCCUCUAAGCAUCAGGUAACAUCAAAUCGUACCCCAAACCGACACAGGUGGUCAGGUAGAGAAUACCAAGGCGCUUGAGAGAACUCGGGUGAAGGAACUAGGCAAAAUGGUGCCGUAACUUCGGGAGAAGGCACGCUGAUAUGUAGGUGAAGUCCCUCGCGGAUGGAGCUGAAAUCAGUCGAAGAUACCAGCUGGCUGCAACUGUUUAUUAAAAACACAGCACUGUGCAAACACGAAAGUGGACGUAUACGGUGUGACGCCUGCCCGGUGCCGGAAGGUUAAUUGAUGGGGUCAGCGCAAGCGAAGCUCUUGAUCGAAGCCCCGGUAAACGGCGGCCGUAACUAUAACGGUCCUAAGGUAGCGAAAUUCCUUGUCGGGUAAGUUCCGACCUGCACGAAUGGCGUAAUGAUGGCCAGGCUGUCUCCACCCGAGACUCAGUGAAAUUGAACUCGCUGUGAAGAUGCAGUGUACCCGCGGCAAGACGGAAAGACCCCGUGAACCUUUACUAUAGCUUGACACUGAACAUUGAGCCUUGAUGUGUAGGAUAGGUGGGAGGCUUUGAAGUGUGGACGCCAGUCUGCAUGGAGCCG